AGGUCCCGCCUGCCCUGUGAUUUUUUAACGGCCGCGGUAUCCUGACCGUGCGAAGGUAGCGUAAUCAAUUGUCUUUUAAUUAAAGGCCCGUAUGAAAGGCAUCACGAGAGUUUAACUGUCUUUAUUUUCUAAUCAAUGAAAUUGAUCCUCUCGUGCAGAACCGAGAAUAAUAACAUAAGACGAGAAGACCCUAUGGAGCUUCAAACACUUAAGUUACCUUAUAAAUAACAACAAUAUUAUACCCAAGGGUAUAAAAACAAAAAUAACCUCUAACUUAACUUGUUUUUGGUUGGGGCGACCAAGGGGAAAAACAAAACCCCCUUAUCGAAUGUGUAAAAUUACUCAAAAUUAGAAUUACAAUUCUAAUUAAUAGAAAAUCUAACGAAUAAUGACCCAGGACUCUAUCCUGAUCAAUGAACCAAGUUACCCUAGGGAUAACAGCGCAAUCCUUUCCCAGAGCUCCCAUCGCCGAAAGGGUUUACGACCUCGAUGUUGGAUCAGGACAUCCUAAUGGUGUAGCCGCUAUUAAGGGUUCGUUUGUUCAACGAUUAACAGUCCUACGUGAUC
Molecule: ribosomal RNA, 567 nt
Filed under: Neotrygon picta (peppered maskray)
Lineage: Eukaryota; Metazoa; Chordata; Chondrichthyes; Myliobatiformes; Dasyatidae
Description: partial 16S ribosomal RNA
Rfam family: Bacterial large subunit ribosomal RNA
Source: RNAcentral